AUAGGGGAGCCGAAGGGAAACCGAGUCUUAACUGGGCGUUAAGUUGCAGGGUAUAGACCCGAAACCCGGUGAUCUAGCCAUGGGCAGGUUGAAGGUUGGGUAACACUAACUGGAGGACCGAACCGACUAAUGUUGAAAAAUUAGCGGAUGACUUGUGGCUGGGGGUGAAAGGCCAAUCAAACCGGGAGAUAGCUGGUUCUCCCCGAAAGCUAUUUAGGUAGCGCCUCGUGAACUCAUCUUCGGGGGUAGAGCACUGUUUCGGCUAGGGGGUCAUCCCGACUUACCAACCCGAUGCAAACUGCGAAUACCGAAGAAUGUUAUCACGGGAGACACACGGCGGGUGCUAACGUCCGUCGUGAAGAGGGAAACAACCCAGACCGCCAGCUAAGGUCCCAAAGUCACAGUUAAGUGGGAAACGAUGUGGGAAGGCUCAGACAGCCAGGAUGUUGGCUUAGAAGCAGCCAUCAUUUAAAGAAAGCGUAAUAGCUCACUGGUCGAGUCGGCCUGCGCGGAAGAUGUAACGGGGCUAAACUGUGCACCGAAGCUGCGGCAGCGACGCUUAUGCGUUGUUGGGUAGGGGAGCGUUCUGUAAGCCUGCGAAGGUGUCCUGUGAGGGAUGCUGGAGGUAUCAGAAGUGCGAAUGCUGACAUAAGUAACGAUAAUGCGGGUGAAAAGCCCGCUCGCCGGAAGACCAAGGGUUCCUGUCCAACGUUAAUCGGGGCAGGGUGAGUCGACCCCUAAGGCGAGGCCGAAAGGCGUAGUCGAUGGGAAACGGGUUAAUAUUCCCGUACUUGGUGUUACUGCGAAGGGGGGACGGAGAAGGCUAUGUUGGCCGGGCGACGGUUGUCCCGGUUUAAGCGUGUAGGCUGGUUU
Molecule: ribosomal RNA, 873 nt
Filed under: Salmonella enterica subsp. enterica
Lineage: Bacteria; Pseudomonadati; Pseudomonadota; Gammaproteobacteria; Enterobacterales; Enterobacteriaceae
Description: partial 23S ribosomal RNA
Rfam family: Bacterial large subunit ribosomal RNA
Source: RNAcentral